Molecule: ribosomal RNA, 269 nt
Filed under: uncultured bacterium
Lineage: Bacteria
Description: partial 16S ribosomal RNA
Rfam family: Bacterial small subunit ribosomal RNA
Source: RNAcentral
CUACGUGCCAGCAGCCGCGGUAAUACGUAGGGGGCAAGCGUUAUCCGGAUUUACUGGGCGUAAAGGGUGCGUAGGCGGUCUUACAAGUCAGGAGUGAAAGGCUACGGCUCAACCGUAGUAAGCUCUUGAAACUGUUAGACUUGAGUGCAGGAGAGGAGAGUGGAAUUCCUAGUGUAGCGGUGAAAUGCGUAGAUAUUAGGAGGAACACCAGUUGCGAAGGCGGCUCUCUGGACUGUAACUGACGCUGAGACACGAAAGCGUGGGGAGCA